GAGCAUGAGGUGGCUUGGGCCGGGGUGAUCAUGCUGCUGCUGCUACUGCUUUAAUAAAGCAUUAAUAAAGCACCAUCUAGUCCAUUUCCAAAUUUCAAUUCAAUCAUCUUCUUCUUCUUCUUCUUCUUAUCAUACUGCUUGUCCACUAUCAUCUUCAUCAUCAGGUGGUUUAGAACAUCACAUGUCUUGAAUUUAUUCGCUACUCAAGUGAUAUACAGUCAGUCUCACACUUGAGGCAUCUUUACACAUAUUGUUCUUGUAAAAUGUCUACCGACGACUCCAGAAAGGUGUCGGGCCAGGAUAUACAGGUGGUGCAAAAUCUUAUUGAACAAUGUCUGAUCCGCUACAUGACUCGUAAAGAAGUUAUGAAUUUCCUCUCUGUAAAGAAGAAAAUAGAACCUGCUGUUACCGAACUUGUCUGGCAGAAACUAGAACAAGAAAAUCAGGAAUUUUUCAAUGCAUACAAUCUGAGAUUAACGUUGAAAGAGCAAAUAGCGGAAUUCAAUCAGUUGCUUGAAAGACAAGUUAAGAUGAUGCAUCAUGCAGACACAGCAGGAGUGUCCUACAGACCUGUUAGCGCAUCUCAUGUCUCACCAAUGCAUCAUAACUCGUCAAGUUAUGCCUCUGAAAAUGCAGGACAUGCAUUGAUGACAGACAGCAUGCGGCAACCGAUUACCACCAGCAUACCAAAUGAAUUCACUAAUCGUGGUUUGUCGGUGCCAUGCAUGCAAAUACCUGUUGACAUGUCUGGUCAGUCAAGAAAAAAUGAAACCUCGAAUGUCAUGCUAGCUCAGAAUCCAAAUGUCAGUAUGGCACAAGGAUUGAAUGGUGGAAUGCUGAAAAGAGAAGCUGGCUAUCCUGGCAUGCCUCAAUUCAUCUAUGGUGGUGAAAACAAUAUCAUGGAACCACAUCCUCUCAGUAGGGAUGCACCUAAUUUAUUAUACAGUCGUGACGAUUCAAACGCACUACCUCCCCUAAAUGAAACAAUGAUGGAUGCAGCAGACUCCACUAGUUUUGGAUUAUUGGGGAAUUAUGGUAUAUCAGACUUAACAACUGAGUUUUCCCAUGGUUCUGAUAUCAUGGACAACUACAGGUCUCCCUUCCUGGAGACAGCUCCAGACAGUUUCCUUGAUUUGCAUAGUAGGGGGGGAGAUAACCAAGGACCAAAUACGAGGUUGGAUGGGUAUGGAGAUUUUCACAGCGACUGAUUGGAUGAUUCCGCUGGUACUAAUCUUGCACACACAAUAAUGGUACAGUUCAAAACUGACUAGUUGUUUCUGAUUAGUGCUAUUGUCAGGAAAUCUAUGUGAUAAGAUGGUGAAAUUAGUUGUCACUUGUACUCUUACCGCACCCAAAGAAAUAAAAAGGAGGUUCAGCUGCAUCCCUCUGUUGGCAAAGGAACUUUUGUAGAUAACUCAAACAUGCAGAGAUUUCAGCAUUCGAGCUGCUGUUAAAAUUGAUGUGCAGAGCUAAUAACAUAGUUGUGUUGAAUGAUGCUAGAAAGUUACUGUUGGCUUUGAGGAAGGAAUAACGAUGGAAAUUGGAACAAGUAAAUGAAUCACCUGUUUGAUAAUUAGGUAUUUCAGAAGUUUUAAUAGAACUGGACUUGAAAUUCCUACAUUAGUAAAAUGCCGUUGCUAUGAAGUUUUCUACUUUGUAUGUUUAAACUAAAGAUGUAAUGAUAAAGUGAAUAUAGAGACUCUCUUCAGCUAUCGUUGUGUAUGUUCCGGUAAUCAAGCAAACCCUUUUCAGCCUUUGAUAA
RNA transcript from Daucus carota subsp. sativus, 1762 nucleotides. RefSeq lists it as uncharacterized. The transcript is spliced from 9 exons. NCBI's taxonomy places the organism in Eukaryota, Viridiplantae, Streptophyta, Magnoliopsida, Apiales, Apiaceae. The record is from RefSeq and is a predicted model, not a curated record.